GGGCUCGUAAUUCAACCUGGUAGAAUACGCCCUUGGCUUGGGUGAGAUUCGGGUUCAAAUCCCGGCGAGUCCA
Molecule: transfer RNA, 73 nt
Filed under: Candidatus Woesearchaeota archaeon
Lineage: Archaea; Nanobdellati; Candidatus Woesearchaeota
Description: tRNA-Ala
Rfam family: tRNA
About the family: Transfer RNA (tRNA) molecules are approximately 80 nucleotides in length. Their secondary structure includes four short double-helical elements and three loops (D, anti-codon, and T loops).
Source: RNAcentral